Mesocricetus auratus (golden hamster) is the source of this 103-nucleotide small nuclear RNA. The record is from Ensembl. Lineage: Eukaryota; Metazoa; Chordata; Mammalia; Rodentia; Cricetidae.
AUGUUCACUUUGCCUACAAAUAUACUAAAAUUGGAAUGACACAAGGUUGUCAUGACCCCUUCACAAGGAUGCCCCACACAUUUGUGACGUUUUCCAUACUUUU